Dipodomys ordii (Ord's kangaroo rat) is the source of this 70-nucleotide non-coding RNA. NCBI's taxonomy places the organism in Eukaryota, Metazoa, Chordata, Mammalia, Rodentia, Heteromyidae. The record is from Rfam.
GGAAACGUGGCUUAGUGGUAGAGUGCUUGCCUAGCAUGCAUGAAGCCCUGGGUUCGAUUCCUCAGUACCA